This 192-nucleotide small RNA is filed under the name Arabidopsis thaliana (thale cress). Its description in RNAcentral is "ATSL270150". The record is from RNAcentral. Lineage: Eukaryota; Viridiplantae; Streptophyta; Magnoliopsida; Brassicales; Brassicaceae.
UGAAAAACCUAAGUACUGAAUCAUUAUUAGAAGAUAUAAAGACAAAGACUCAUACGGACUUCGACUACACUAACAAAGCUUUGAGAAGCAAGAAGAAGCUUGGUUAGUGUUUUGGAUUCUAAUAUGACUUGAUGCCAUGUGUAUGACUCAAUAUAAAAACAAGAACCGCAACAGAUCUUAAAAGCAUAAGUA